RNAcentral lists this non-coding RNA (120 nucleotides) under bovine gut metagenome. RNAcentral describes it as "THF riboswitch". It matches the Rfam family "THF (Tetrahydrofolate) riboswitch aptamer". From Rfam's summary of the family: THF riboswitch presents a pseudoknot that joins P1-P2 and the loop of P3 and two THF binding. The record is from RNAcentral.
GCAGAGUAGGUUUCGGAGCGUUUGGGCGGUUAUGGAUGCCGCUCGCCAGUGCCCGCCGGACAGGGAGUUGCCGGUGGGACGAAAAGAAUUUCUUGCGGUUCCGGAAUCGCAUCCCGCUGC